AGAGUUUGGUUGUAGCUGGCUCCUAAUUAAACUUGGGGGCAUGUGCACACCGUUUCUCUUUCAUCCCAUACACACCUGUGCACCUGUGAGACAGAUGUUUUGUGGGGGGGAAGGAACUUUAUUGGACCUUCUACUCCCCCUUGACUUCUGUCUACUUAAUUCAUAUAAACUCAAUUUAUUUUAAAACGGAUGUAAUGGAUGUAACACAUCUAAUACUAAGUUUCAACAACGGAUCUCUUGGCUCUCGCAUCGAUGAAGAACGCAGCGAAAUGCGAUAAGUAAUGUGAAUUGCAGAAUUCAGUGAAUCAUCGAAUCUUUGAACGCACCUUGCGCUCCUUGGUAUUCCUUGGAGCAUGCCUGUUUGAGUAUCAUGAAAUCUUCAAAGUCAAACCUUUUGUUAAUUCAAUUGGUUCUGCUUUGGUAUUGGAGGAUUAUUGCAGCUUCACACCUGCUCCUCUUUGUGCAUUAGCUGGAUCUCAGUGUUAUGCUUGGUUCCACUCAGCGUGAUAAGUUAUCUAUCGCUGAGGACACCCUGUUAAAAAGGGGUGGCCAAGGUAAAUGCAGAUGAACCGCUUCUAAUAGUCCAUUGACUUGGACAAUAUCUAAUUUAUGAUCUGAUCUCAAAUC
Molecule: unclassified non-coding RNA, 627 nt
Filed under: Thanatephorus cucumeris
Lineage: Eukaryota; Fungi; Basidiomycota; Agaricomycetes; Cantharellales; Ceratobasidiaceae
Description: sequence contains ITS1, 5.8S rRNA gene, ITS2
Rfam family: 5.8S ribosomal RNA (bases 218-371)
Source: RNAcentral